RNAcentral lists this small nucleolar RNA (82 nucleotides) under Zostera marina. RNAcentral describes it as "Small nucleolar RNA Z157/R69/R10". It matches the Rfam family "Small nucleolar RNA Z157/R69/R10". From Rfam's summary of the family: Z157, R69 and R10 are members of the C/D class of snoRNA which contain the C (UGAUGA) and D (CUGA) box motifs. Most of the members of the box C/D family function in directing site-specific 2'-O-methylation of substrate RNAs. Lineage: Eukaryota; Viridiplantae; Streptophyta; Magnoliopsida; Alismatales; Zosteraceae. The record is from Rfam by way of RNAcentral.
UUAGAUGCUGUGAUGAUAUAUUUUAUGGACUAGAGUUUCUGAUCUUGUAUUUGAAGACAAACCCUUGGCUGUCUGAGCAUAA